This 71-nucleotide transfer RNA is filed under the name Caudoviricetes sp. Its description in RNAcentral is "tRNA-Met". It matches the Rfam family "tRNA". Rfam says of the family: Transfer RNA (tRNA) molecules are approximately 80 nucleotides in length. Their secondary structure includes four short double-helical elements and three loops (D, anti-codon, and T loops). Further hydrogen bonds mediate the characteristic L-shaped molecular structure. tRNAs have two regions of fundamental functional importance: the anti-codon, which is responsible for specific mRNA codon recognition, and the 3' end, to which the tRNAs corresponding amino acid is attached (by aminoacyl-tRNA synthetases). tRNAs cope with the degeneracy of the genetic code in two manners: having more than one tRNA (with a specific anti-codon) for a particular amino acid; and 'wobble' base-pairing, i.e. permitting non-standard base-pairing at the 3rd anti-codon position. Lineage: Duplodnaviria; Heunggongvirae; Uroviricota; Caudoviricetes. The record is from RNAcentral.
CGCGGGGUAGAGUAGCGGUCACUCGACAGUGUCAUAAGCUGUACAACCGGGUUCGACUCCCGGCCCCGCAA